This 1193-nucleotide long non-coding RNA is filed under the name Homo sapiens (human). Its description in RNAcentral is "non-protein coding lnc-FOSL2-2:1". The record is from RNAcentral. Lineage: Eukaryota; Metazoa; Chordata; Mammalia; Primates; Hominidae.
GGCCGCGCCUCCCUUUGCAGCCCCCAAGACUUGGCUAGGGCGGCCUGAGGCCCGCGUGGCGCGGGGAGGGGCUGAGAACCGAGUGGGAAAAUGUCACGAUUUCUUCUGUGCCCCUCCCGUCCCUACCCCCACCCCCAGUUUUCUGAGUUUUGCUGCUGCCGCUGGGGAAGGACUGAUUCGUUUUGCGUCAAAGGACUGCAUUUACUCAGUCCUGCUGGGAGAGGCGCGUAAACACCCAGGCAAGCCAGGACGCAGGGAUGGGGAGGGGGAAGAAAAAAGCAAAGCACCCACGGCCGGCGCGCGCGUCCGCCUGCCCCACACCCCUCUCCUGGGCCUGCGGAGUUGGGGACUCUGUCCAGCGGGCAGCAGCGGAGGUGCGAGGAGUCUGGCUGGCCUCGCCUCGUCGCGCACGCGCGCGCGUCCUUGGGGAUAGCGUUCAGGACAGAAUGUGUUUUAUAGCUGUAAACAAUGACCCCGAGUAUUGUUUGGGAUUACCGUAUCUUGGGGCCCUUGGGGCGGCCAGAUGCCGCCAGCCGUCCCGGAAAUGCCAGCGCUUUAUAUAGAGCCCCAGGAAAGCUUCGCGUUCCCGGCUCUAUUUUUCUCUGCUACCAACACCCCCACUUUGCAGAUAAGGAAACUGAGGACAGAAGUUGUGUGACGGUGCACAGCGAGUUGUCAGCAAUGGACUCUCAACACCUCUUAACAUUGGGUCCUCAUAAGGACCCUGUGGGGUACAGAUGGCUGGCGCUACUUAAGAAUUGGGUAAACUGAGGCUAACACAGACCCUGGACCAAAACCUAAGUUCCCUGACUUCCGCUACAGUACUUCUCCAUUCACACACACCAUCAUCUCAGCGGAAGGAUUGGAGCUCCAGAGCAGAGAAGGGCCUAAGGUCAUGUCUCCAAACUCCUUCACUUUAUAGGAGGAAACUGAGGCCCAGAGAGGUUAAGGAAUUCGUCCAAGAUCUCACAGCUCGUAAAUAGCGUAGCCGGGCGUUCCUGCUCUAAGGUCUGUGCUCUGUACCCUGCGCCGCGCCCCUCCCAGCCCCGCCCAGCGAGGGAGGAGGACCCAAAUGUCCGGCAACCCGCGCCCUGAACUUCGCUCCAAAACAGCUGAAGACGACAACGUUGGGGCACACCCUCUCGCUGGCUUUUUUUUUUUUUUUUUAAUUCGUAACAGUCUGGAGUUUGCUU